Arvicanthis niloticus (Nile rat) is the source of this 109-nucleotide small nuclear RNA. The record is from RefSeq and is a predicted model, not a curated record. NCBI's taxonomy places the organism in Eukaryota, Metazoa, Chordata, Mammalia, Rodentia, Muridae.
CUGCUUGUCUUUGGCAGCACAUAUACCAAAGUUGAAACAAUACAGAGAAGAUUAGCAUGGUUCCUGCUCAAGUAGUGUUUUUUAAGGAGUAAAGGGGAAGUCUGUGCUA